This 189-nucleotide microRNA precursor is filed under the name Helianthus annuus (common sunflower). The record is from RNAcentral. Lineage: Eukaryota; Viridiplantae; Streptophyta; Magnoliopsida; Asterales; Asteraceae.
UAUACUUUCAUCUUAACAAUUAAUUCAAAAAAUGAAUGGUUAAAAUUCAUUCUCAUCCUACUUAGGCAAAAUAAACUUUUUAUUAUAUAUAUAGGGGUAAGAUCAAAUAAAAAGUUUAUUUUGCCUAAGUAGGAUGAGAAUGAAUCUUAACCAUUUAUUUUUUGAAUUAAUUGUUAAAAUGAAAGUAUA